UACGGAGGAUCCAAGCGUUAUCCGGAUUUAUUGGGUUUAAAGGGUGCGUAGGCGGAUUGAUAAGUUAGAGGUGAAAUGUCCGAGCUCAACUCGGGAACUGCCUCUAAUACUGUUGAUCUAGAGAGUAGAUGCGGUAGGCGGAAUGUAUGGUGUAGCGGUGAAAUGCUUAGAGAUCAUACAGAACACCGAUUGCGAAGGCAGCUUACCAAUCUAUAUCUGACGUUGAGGCACGAAAGCGUGGGGAGCAAACA
RNAcentral lists this ribosomal RNA (251 nucleotides) under uncultured bacterium. RNAcentral's name for it is "partial 16S ribosomal RNA". It matches the Rfam family "Bacterial small subunit ribosomal RNA", at positions 524 to 774 of the family's 1533-position model. The record is from RNAcentral.